RNAcentral lists this ribosomal RNA (429 nucleotides) under Chloroflexota bacterium. RNAcentral's name for it is "Chloroflexi bacterium partial 16S ribosomal RNA". It matches the Rfam family "Bacterial small subunit ribosomal RNA", at positions 355 to 776 of the family's 1533-position model. The record is from RNAcentral. Lineage: Bacteria; Bacillati; Chloroflexota.
UGGGGAAUAUUGCACAAUGGGCGCAAGCCUGAUGCAGCCAUGCCGCGUGUGUGAAGAAGGCCUUCGGGUUGUAAAGCACUUUCAGCGGGGAGGAAGGCGAUAAGGUUAAUAACCUCAUCGAUUGACGUUACCCGCAGAAGAAGCACCGGCUAACUCCGUGCCAGCAGCCGCGGUAAUACGGAGGGUGCAAGCGUUAAUCGGAAUUACUGGGCGUAAAGCGCACGCAGGCGGUCUGUCAAGUCGGAUGUGAAAUCCCCGGGCUCAACCUGGGAACUGCAUUCGAAACUGGCAGGCUAGAGUCUUGUAGAGGGGGGUAGAAUUCCAGGUGUAGCGGUGAAAUGCGUAGAGAUCUGGAGGAAUACCGGUGUCGAAGGCGGCCCCCUGGACAAAGACUGACGCUCAGGUGCGAAAGCGUGGGGAGCAAACAGG